CAGAACGAACGCUGGCGGCAGGCUUAACACAUGCAAGUUGAACGGUUGUAGCAAUACAGCAGUGGCAGACGGGUGAGUAACACGUGGGAACCUUCCUAGGGGUACGGAACAACUCAGGGAAACUUGAGCUAAUACCGUAUACGUCCGUGAGGAGAAAGAUUUAUCGCCCUUAGACGGGCCCGCGUCGGAUUAGCUAGUUGUGGGGUAACGGCCUACCAAGGCGACGAUCCGUAGCUGAUCUUAGAGGAUGAUCAGCCACACUGGGACUGAGACACGGCCCAGACUCCUACGGGAGGCAGCAGUGGGGAAUCUUGGACAAUGGGCGCAAGCCUGAUCCAGCCAUGCCGCGUGAGUGAAGAAGGUCUUCGGAUUGUAAAGCUCUUUUGCCAGGGACGAUAAUGACGGUACCUGGAGAAUAAGCCCCGGCAAACUUCGUG
This 437-nucleotide ribosomal RNA is filed under the name uncultured bacterium. RNAcentral's name for it is "bacterial SSU rRNA". It matches the Rfam family "Bacterial small subunit ribosomal RNA", at positions 25 to 507 of the family's 1533-position model. The record is from RNAcentral.